Molecule: ribosomal RNA, 507 nt
Filed under: uncultured bacterium
Lineage: Bacteria
Description: partial 16S ribosomal RNA
Rfam family: Bacterial small subunit ribosomal RNA (bases 20-328)
Source: RNAcentral
GACGAACGCUGGCGGCGUGCUUAACACAUGCAAGUCGAACGGAAAGGCCUCUUUCGGGGGGUACUCGAGUGGCGAACGGGUGAGUAACACGUGAGUAACCUGCCCUUGACUUUGGGAUAACUUCAGGAAACUGGGGCUAAUACCGGAUAGGAGCUCCUGCUGCAUGGUGGGGGUUGGAAAGUUUCGGCGGUUGGGGAUGGACUCGCGGCUUAUCAGCUUGUUGGUGGGGUAGUGGCUUACCAAGGCUUUGACGGGUAGCCGGCCUGAGAGGGUGACCGGCGCGCUUGGGGAGGAGACACGACCAAGAGGCCUAGGGGGAGGGGGGGGGGAGACAGGUGUGGAAGGGGUGGAGGCGUGCGCGAGCAGCGGCGUGUGCGGGGUGACGUCCGUCUGUGGACAGCCGGUUGUCGUGAGGGGCGAGGGUUUGGUUGAGGGUGGGGGGAAAAGAAGAACCGAACACCUCGGUGCCAGCGGCGGCGGAAAAAAGAGGAAAAGCACACUUCGAAA